Long non-coding RNA from Neltuma alba, 561 nucleotides. RefSeq lists it as uncharacterized. NCBI's taxonomy places the organism in Eukaryota, Viridiplantae, Streptophyta, Magnoliopsida, Fabales, Fabaceae. The record is from RefSeq and is a predicted model, not a curated record. The transcript is spliced from 2 exons.
GAGGCAUAGGACAUUCAUCAUUGUCAUUAUUGCAGUAAUAGGAACUACCAUUAUCAACGUCACUUGUGCAUACUUCUUAUGGAAAUGGAAAGCAAAACAUUUAGCAGGAAAAUGGAAUAACAAAACAAGUGGCAGUAUUAGUGGAAAAUUGUCACAAGUUAAGUUUCAGGAGUUAUUGGUCUACGAUGUUGAAAAGGUUGCAAUGGCUACAAACACCUUUCAAUUGACUAAUAAACUUAGGCAAGGCGGUUUCUCUCCAGUCUAUAAGGAAUAUGAUUUCAUGAAUUAUUGAUCAGUUUAAUUCCAAAAAUUCAAAUUCGUUAUGUAUGACAGUUGUUUCAUGGGGUUGUCAUCAAGGGAACACUGCAAGAUGGUCAGGUUAUAGCAGUUAAGAGAUUAUAAAGAGCAUCGGGACACGGACAAGAGGAAUGCAUGAAUGAGCUGGUUGUCAUUUCCAAGCUUCAACAUCACAAUCUUGUACAACUUUUAGGUUGCCGUAUUGAAGGAGAAGAAAAGAUGUUGAUCUAUGAGUACAUUCAAAUAAAAGUUUAGAUGCAUUUA